GAUGAACGCUGGCGGCGUGCCUAAUACAUGCAAGUCGAGCGAACAGACGAGGAGCUUGCUCCUCUGACGUUAGCGGCGGACGGGUGAGUAACACGUGGAUAACCUACCUAUAAGACUGGGAUAACUUCGGGAAACCGGAGCUAAUACCGGAUAAUAUAUUGAACCGCAUGGUUCAAUAGUGAAAGACGGUUUUGCUGUCACUUAUAGAUGGAUCCGCGCCGCAUUAGCUAGUUGGUAAGGUAACGGCUUACCAAGGCAACGAUGCGUAGCCGACCUGAGAGGGUGAUCGGCCACACUGGAACUGAGCCACGGUCCAGACUCCUACGGGAGGCAGCAGUAGGGAAUCUUCCGCAAUGGGCGAAAGCCUGACGGAGCAACGCCGCGUGAGUGAUGAAGGUCUUCGGAUCGUAAAACUCUGUUAUUAGGGAAGUACAAAUGUGUAAGUAACUAUGCACGUCUUGACGGUACCUAAUCAGAAAGCCACGGCUAACUACGUG
This 497-nucleotide ribosomal RNA is filed under the name uncultured bacterium. RNAcentral describes it as "partial 16S ribosomal RNA". It matches the Rfam family "Bacterial small subunit ribosomal RNA", at positions 28 to 507 of the family's 1533-position model. The record is from RNAcentral.